This 459-nucleotide ribosomal RNA is filed under the name uncultured bacterium. Its description in RNAcentral is "partial 16S ribosomal RNA". It matches the Rfam family "Bacterial small subunit ribosomal RNA", at positions 338 to 795 of the family's 1533-position model. The record is from RNAcentral.
CCUACGGGUGGCAGCAGUGAGGAAUAUUGGUCAAUGGCCGGAAGGCUGAACCAGCCAUGCCGCGUGAAGGUCAGUGCCCUAUGGGCGUUAAACUUCUUUUGUGCGGGAGCAAUAAUGGUCACGUGUGGCCAGACGAGAGUACCGUACGAAGAAGCCCCGGCUAACUACGUGCCAGCAGCCGCGGUAAUACGUAGGGGGCAAGCGUUAUCCGGAUUUACUGGGUGUAAAGGGAGCGUAGACGGCUGUGCAAGUCUGAAGUGAAAGCCCGUGGCUCAACCGCGGAACUGCUUUGGAAACUGUAUAGCUUGAGUACUGGAGAGGCAGGCGGAAUUCCUAGUGUAGCGGUGAAAUGCGUAGAUAUUAGGAGGAACACCAGUGGCGAAGGCGGCCUGCUGGACAGAAACUGACGUUGAGGCUCGAAAGCGUGGGGAGCAAACAGGAUUAGAUACCCUUGUAGUC